Molecule: long non-coding RNA, 939 nt
Organism: Carya illinoinensis
Lineage: Eukaryota; Viridiplantae; Streptophyta; Magnoliopsida; Fagales; Juglandaceae
Exons: 2
Source: RefSeq, a predicted model, not a curated record
CGUCAUCAUUCAUAUUUAUCUAUCCAAUGUGGGACAAUCUGCAUAAAGUGCUAUGUGAAAGCUUUACUUAAGUCAUAUGGUAAACCAUGGCCAUGAAAACAGACAAUCUAAGAUUGGAUGGGGAAAGCAACCUUGAGACUGUGGAUAAAGGCUUGAGUUCUGUUUCUAUUCCUGGUUAUGAUGAGAUCAGAUAGCAGUUAGAGAUGUUGUAGCCACAAGGAUUUCAGGUUUUAUCAGGAUGUAAAAUAAUCUGUUGCAGAAGACUUGGACCUUCUUUAUUAUGUUUUCAGAACACUCGCGUUUUGUUGGAGAACUAAUGCUUGUUGGUCUUAUGUAGCGAUAUGGCGAUGCAGGAGCAUGUGAUCAGUAUAAUACUAGCGAACAUUCUUCUUCCCUUCGGCUUGUUGACUACUAACAAAGUAAGAAGUUUCUGAAGAUCUUUGAAAUGGAAAUAGGCAGGGGAAGCGCGAACGCAGGCCCCCACUGCCACAAAUUAUGACGUAGGCUCUGCCACUUGGACAGACCUUAGGCGAGCACCCCUCCCAAGUGCAAUGGAAGUCACUAGCCUAGGCCAUGGGUCUUCUUGAUCACCCAUUGACCCCGUCCAGAUGAUGACGAGGAUGACAAGCAGAAUGUAGAAGGUGAAGAGUUUUGCCAUCUUUGAUGAUAAAUGUGGUGCCUCUAUGCUCUCAGUAUAGGCAGUUGGGGAACCUUAUAUCUUGUCUAUCCACCAAUGAGGAGAUAUGUGUGUAUAAAAGUCGUGGCAUGUUGCAAGAAUUAGUUAAAAUUAUUCUAAUGUAUGGUAAUCACACGAUAUAGCUCUUUGUCAAAAAAGAUUGAUAAUUUAAGAAUCAUUUAAUAAGAGUGUGAUAUGUUUUGUGGGGACAUAUUUUCUUGUAUGGAAAGGUUGAAGGAAAAAAUAUAAAGCCCUUUUAACUC